Molecule: non-coding RNA, 554 nt
Organism: Harpia harpyja (harpy eagle)
Lineage: Eukaryota; Metazoa; Chordata; Aves; Accipitriformes; Accipitridae
Source: the annotation of a RefSeq genome assembly
ACACCAGCAAGAGCCCUCAGGAUGCUGCUGCUCCCGCUCCUGGCCCUGGCUGCAACCUGGUCUCAUGGACGAGCACAAGUGCUUCUGAAACAGACUCCAAUAGCCAUUACCAGAGGGCAAAGUAAAACUGCACGGAUUGACUGUAGAGCCGAGGGCAUAUCUAACUUCCAGUCUGAAUAUAUACAUUGGUACCGACAUAUACCUUCCAAAGCUCCCGAACGGAUUCUGUUUAUUGGAGCAGGACACGUUUCUUAUGAUGACAACUCCUAUAGGAAUAAGUAUUCUGCUUCGAAGAACAGAGAAAACAUCUGCUCUUUCUCAGUCAAUGACAUCAACUCCAAUGAUGAAGGUACCUACUACUGUGCCUACCGGCAGUCCCACAGAACUAUCAAACCACAGGCAGUCUGUACAGAAAGCUGCCUGUACCCUGAGCAGCAAGCUUUCCGUCAAAUGCAGAGAACCACAAUUGCACCUUCCUGCCUUUAAAAUAUCCCAACAGGUUUAUGCUGAGUACAUAAGUAUAAAUAACAGACAAAGAGAAAAGUGAAGAAAUG